Non-coding RNA from Protopterus annectens (West African lungfish), 2702 nucleotides. Lineage: Eukaryota; Metazoa; Chordata; Ceratodontiformes; Protopteridae. The record is from the annotation of a RefSeq genome assembly.
UGAUUACAUCAAAAGGUUCAUGCUUUUGUACGGAGAUGGUCAGUUAUGACCAUAAGUGAAAUUACUCUGCAUCAUGUUAAUGAGAGCCUUGUCUUUGGUUUUUAUCUUCCCAGUCUUACAGACAGAUCUGGUACAGUUUCCCCCCUUGACAAGAAUUCUUAAUGGAGAUUCUGUCAAUCUCAACUGCAAAAUUCUGAAGGCUAACACCUAUUGCUAUGAUAUAGUGUGGUACAUACAGAGGAAUGAUGAAGCCCCACAGCGGAUAGAAGAAAACAAAACAUUUUCUCCGUCAAAAGAGCAAGACCAAAGAGAAUGUCUCUUAACAAUACAUAAUGUACAAAAAUCUUAUGCUGGGGUGUAUUUUUGUGCCUGUUGUCACUAUGCACUAAGCUCCUUCGGGAAUGGGACACAACUCUUUGUCACAGAUGGAACAACAUACAUCGUGUCUGUAUUCAUUCUUCCUCCAUUGGCUGAAGGAAUGAAGCUGAGAAAUACAGCAACUCUAAUUUGCAUUGCACAUAGUUUUCCUGAUGACCAAAUUGCAGUUUACUGGAAUAUUGGUGGAAAUUUUACAUAUGGGCUUACUGUUCCUGGCAUUGGUGGUGAUGAUGGAUUUUACAGUGUGAAAAGUAUACUAACAAUACCAACUGCAGCCUGGGACAGUGAUGCAAACUACACUUGCAUAGUAGUUGCAGGAAACAGGACAAUCAAAACCAGAGUAUGGAAAGGUCCUGCAAUAAUGUCUGAUGGUCUUGCUACAGUAACUUCUGAUGUUAUCGUCAUGCAGUUUGGAUUAAUGUUUGGAUUCUGUUUAUCAGUCAGUGCCCUUCUUCUUGUAGCAGUGAUAGUUAUUGCACUCUGUUAUCUGAGACAGUUAAGACGAGGUCCAAGAUUAUUCAAACAGAAGAAUUAUAUAUGAAUGUCAAAAGAACAACAGGAGAACAAAGAUAAUACACAUAAAGAUGCAGAACAGAAGUAUUUUAAAGCCCAUGAUCCAAGAAGCAAAAACAGGUUGCAAAAAUGCCAAAGUUGAUAUAAAAAUUCAGUGCAUCAGUGGCACCUCUGAAGUACUCAGCAUGCAAAUAAAGGAGAUCUGCAAGCUACUCAGCAACAUAGAUCCACUAUGAGACAGUUCUUUUUUUACCUCAUGUUUUCACAUACAAAUGCUUUUAACUGUACUGCUUAUAAUAUAAUCAGUUUAUUCUAAAACUGGGUUCUUUAUACACUGGAAGGAAAAUGCUAUCAUUAAAUUGUUAUUAAUGUAUGUACCUCAUUAUUAGGUAUUACCUUGUAAAGUUUCAUAUUUCUACUACUAUAUCUGUCAGUAUUUGAAUGUUAUUAACAGCUGUUUUAAUUCCAUUCAAAUUAUGAGAAAUAAAUUAAAAUCCAAUCAUCAUUAUCAUUAUUCUUGGUAAGCAUCACCAUCACUAUCAUGAAGCUUCUUUAAGUUAGACGCACCAUAAUUUCAUGCAUGAAGUCUUUAAUCCCACCUUGAAGAUCCCAAUACAGUUUUAUAUGUACAAUGCAUAUUGCAAUAACCAGUACAGCUUAUAAAACAUACACAAAUUUGUUAGUGACAUUCAUCAUACUGAUCGCUGGAUUACAUGCAGACCCUUUAGCAGAACUAUACAUUGAUGUUUACUAUAACACAUACGGUCAUGGAGUUUGACUCAUAAGAAAUCCACAUGUUUACAUAGUGCAACUUCCACGAAGCAACCUUGAUCUUUAUGGAUCUAAUUACAUAAUCCUAGCUAUCCUAGCUACUUCUGAGUUGCAUAUAAUACUGAAUGUCUUCCGUAAGAUAGCAAUGGAUUCAGAUAGGUGAUACGACUGGCUUUGCCACCACUCACAUCACACAGAGAGGCAUGGUAUUCAAAGAAUUACAGCAGCAGUGUAUGUGCAUUUCUUCACUUUUUUAAGGUUGCACAAACAUUACAUCCCUACCUCAUUAUGAAUAUAAUGUCCAGGCCAAGGUUUGUUCUGUCUCUUAUCUGUGCUCCCCUCCUACCGCCAACCCACUGAAUAGAUAAAUAGAUCAUUGCCUUUGUCUGGCUUACCAACCUUUGCAUUGCAUAAUGUUAGUUUUUUUUUUGUCUAGAGACCUAGCAUAUAAUUUAAUAAGACCAGUUAAAAGAGACAUUAUUUUUAGGUGGACAAUGAAGUUGGAAAACACCAUAGAAAAAAUUAAUUUCAUUCAAAAUCCAUUAAAUUAAUUAUACCAUUGUCAACCAUUUGUCAAAAAGGAUAAUCAUUAUUCAAAAGAAACGUACCAUAUUGAUGCCUGAUUAUCAAAUAAAGUAUCAAAGUAAAUGUAUACCUGUUAAAACUGUCUGAACUAAUGUUAUAGUAUUUAACAUUAAAAAAUGAGCUAUCUGUGUGGCAGACUUAUUACAUUUUUUUCUGCUGUAACAAACCAUGUUUAGCCAUGUGCUUUCAUCACUAUCACCUCAAAUUCUUCGGACAUGACAGAAGAUAGGAUUAUGAAUCUCUCUAAUACAAGUGAGAUGCAUAUCAUUACAAAACACUGUAGGACAGAGGGACAGUACCAUAACAUAACCACUGACAGGAAGUAAAUACUAAUCUAGGCAACAAGCACAUUUCUUUUUGCAGAAGAUGAGUUUGAGUGUUAGCUGUGAUAUAAGCCAUACAUUUAAAUUUUAAACUGUCUGGCUUUCAGAAUUAUUCCAUGGAAGUUAAGCACA